CCUACGGGGGGCAGCAGUGAGGAAUAUUGGUCAAUGGACGCAAGUCUGAACCAGCCAUGUCGCGUGCAGGAAGACGGCCCUAUGAGUUGUAAACUGCUUUUGUACAAGGGUAAACCUGAAUACGUGUAUUCAGCUGUAUGUACUUUACGAAUAAGGAUCGGCUAACUCCGUGCCAGCAGCCGCGGUAAUACGGAGGAUCCAAGCGUUAUCCGGAUUUAUUGGGUUUAAAGGGUGCGUAGGCGGAUUGGUAAGUUAGAGGUGAAAUGUCCAAGCUUAACUCGGGAACUGCCUUUAAUACUGUUGAUCUAGAGAGUAGAUGAGGUAGGCGGAAUGUAUGGUGUAGCGGUGAAAUGCUUAGAGAUCAUACAGAACACCGAUUGCGAAGGCAGCUUACCAAUCUAUAACUGACGUUGAGGCACGAAAGCGUGGGGAGCAAACAGGAUUAGAUACCCUUGUAGUC
RNAcentral lists this ribosomal RNA (460 nucleotides) under uncultured bacterium. Its description in RNAcentral is "partial 16S ribosomal RNA". It matches the Rfam family "Bacterial small subunit ribosomal RNA", at positions 338 to 795 of the family's 1533-position model. The record is from RNAcentral.